This 254-nucleotide ribosomal RNA is filed under the name uncultured bacterium. RNAcentral describes it as "partial 16S ribosomal RNA". It matches the Rfam family "Bacterial small subunit ribosomal RNA", at positions 526 to 779 of the family's 1533-position model. The record is from RNAcentral.
CGUAGGGUGCAAGCGUUAAUCGGAAUUACUGGGCGUAAAGCGUGCGCAGGCGGUUUUGUAAGUCUGUCGUGAAAGCCCCGGGCUCAACCUGGGAAUUGCGAUGGAGACUGCAAGGCUUGAAUCUGGCAGAGGGGGGUAGAAUUCCACGUGUAGCAGUGAAAUGCGUAGAGAUGUGGAGGAACACCGAUGGCGAAGGCAGCCCCCUGGGUCAAGAUUGACGCUCAUGCACGAAAGCGUGGGGAGCAAACAGGAUU